RNAcentral lists this ribosomal RNA (253 nucleotides) under uncultured bacterium. RNAcentral describes it as "partial 16S ribosomal RNA". It matches the Rfam family "Bacterial small subunit ribosomal RNA", at positions 524 to 776 of the family's 1533-position model. The record is from RNAcentral.
UACGUAGGCAGCAAGCGUUGUUCGGAGUUACUGGGCGUAAAGGGUGCGUAGGCGGCCCUGUAAGUAUGGUGUGAAAUCUCCCGGCUUAACUGGGAGGGUGCGCUAUAGACUGCGGGGCUCGAGUGUGGGAGAGGACAGUGGAAUUCCUGGUGUAGCGGUGAAAUGCGUAGAUAUCAGGAGGAACACCGGUGGUGUAAACGGCUUUCUGGACCAUAACUGACGCUGAGGCACGAAAGCGUGGGUAGCAAACAGG